This 425-nucleotide ribosomal RNA is filed under the name uncultured bacterium. RNAcentral describes it as "partial 16S ribosomal RNA". It matches the Rfam family "Bacterial small subunit ribosomal RNA", at positions 354 to 796 of the family's 1533-position model. The record is from RNAcentral.
GUGGGGAAUCUUAGACAAUGGGCGCAAGCCUGAUCUAGCCAUGCCGCGUGAGCGAUGAAGGCCUUAGGGUUGUAAAGCUCUUUCGUGGGGGAAGAUAAUGACUGUACCCCAAGAAGAAGCCCCGGCUAACUCCGUGCCAGCAGCCGCGGUAAUACGGAGGGGGCUAGCGUUGUUCGGAAUUACUGGGCGUAAAGCGCACGUAGGCGGACUGGAAAGUCAGGGGUGAAAUCCCGGGGCUCAACCCCGGAACUGCCUUUGAAACUCCCAGUCUUGAGUUCGAGAGAGGUGAGUGGAAUUCCGAGUGUAGAGGUGAAAUUCGUAGAUAUUCGGAGGAACACCAGUGGCGAAGGCGGCUCACUGGCUCGAUACUGACGCUGAGGUACGAAAGCGUGGGGAGCAAACAGGAUUAGAAACCCUUGUAGUCC